RNAcentral lists this ribosomal RNA (582 nucleotides) under Stenotrophomonas lactitubi. Its description in RNAcentral is "bacterial SSU rRNA". It matches the Rfam family "Bacterial small subunit ribosomal RNA", at positions 116 to 694 of the family's 1533-position model. The record is from RNAcentral. Lineage: Bacteria; Pseudomonadati; Pseudomonadota; Gammaproteobacteria; Lysobacterales; Lysobacteraceae.
CAUCGGAAUCUACUUUUUCGUGGGGGAUAACGUAGGGAAACUUACGCUAAUACCGCAUACGACCUACGGGUGAAAGCAGGGGAUCUUCGGACCUUGCGCGAUCGAAUGAGCCGAUGUCGGAUUAGCUAGUAGGCGGGGUAAAGGCCCACCAAGGCGACGAUCCGUAGCUGGUCUGAGAGGAUGAUCAGCCACACUGGAACUGAGACACGGUCCAGACUCCUACGGGAGGCAGCAGUGGGGAAUAUUGGACAAUGGGCGCAAGCCUGAUCCAGCCAUACCGCGUGGGUGAAGAAGGCCUUCGGGUUGUAAAGCCCUUUUGUUGGGAAAGAAAUCCAGCCGGCUAAUACCUGGUUGGGAUGACGGUACCCAAAGAAUAAGCACCGGCUAACUUCGUGCCAGCAGCCGCGGUAAUACGAAGGGUGCAAGCGUUACUCGGAAUUACUGGGCGUAAAGCGUGCGUAGGUGGUUGUUUAAGUCUGUUGUGAAAGCCCUGGGCUCAACCUGGGAACUGCAGUGGAAACUGGACAACUAGAGUGUGGUAGAGGGUAGCGGAAUUCCCGGUGUAGCAGUGAAAUGCGUAGA